Molecule: ribosomal RNA, 277 nt
Filed under: Apotolamprus hanskii
Lineage: Eukaryota; Metazoa; Arthropoda; Insecta; Coleoptera; Scarabaeidae
Also listed under: 12 other names
Description: partial 28S ribosomal RNA
Rfam family: Eukaryotic large subunit ribosomal RNA
Source: RNAcentral
GCAUGUGCGCGAGUCAUUGGGACUCUGUUAAACCUAAAGGCGCAAUGAAAGUAAAGGUCCGCCUCGCGCGGACCGAGGGAGGAUGGGCCCGUCCCCGGGCGGGCCCCGCACUCCCGGGGCGUCUCGUUCUCAUCGCGAGAAGAGGCGCACCCAGAGCGUACACGCUGGGACCCGAAAGAUGGUGAACUAUGCCUGGUCAGGACGAAGUCAGGGGAAACCCUGAUGGAGGUCCGUAGCGAUUCUGACGUGCAAAUCGAUCGUCGGAACUGGGUAUAGG